RNAcentral lists this ribosomal RNA (514 nucleotides) under Mesomexovis oaxaca. Its description in RNAcentral is "eukaryotic LSU rRNA". It matches the Rfam family "Eukaryotic large subunit ribosomal RNA", at positions 666 to 1138 of the family's 3401-position model. Lineage: Eukaryota; Metazoa; Arthropoda; Arachnida; Scorpiones; Vaejovidae. RNAcentral also lists the same sequence under 1 other name. The record is from RNAcentral.
CCAAGGAGUCUAACAUGUGCGCGAGUCGUCGGGUCUUGAACAGGCCCGCAGGCGAAAUGAAAGUGAAGGGCGACCCAGUCGUCGCCUGCGUUGGGAUCCCCGGGCGGCUGAGUCCGGGGCGCACCAACGGCCCGUCCCGUCCGCGUCGUCGGUGGGACGGAGCGAGAGCGUACACGUUGGGACCCGAAAGAUGGUGAACUAUGCCUGGGCAGGACGAGGCCAGAGGAAACUCUGGUGGAGGUCCGCAGCGAUUCUGACGUGCAAAUCGAUCGUCAGACCUGGGUAUAGGGGCGAAAGACUAAUCGAACCGUCUAGUAGCUGGUUCCCUCCGAAGUUUCCCUCAGGAUAGCUGGCGCUCGAGGGAGUCAGUCUCAUCCGGUAAAGCGAAUGAUUAGAGGCCUUGGGGCCGAAACGACCUCAACCUAUUCUCAAACUUUCAAUGGGUGAGAAGUCCGGUUUACAUGACUGAAGCCCGGACAAUUCUCAGGAUGCGAGUGCCCAGUGGGCCACUUUU